Molecule: small nuclear RNA, 54 nt
Filed under: Heterocephalus glaber (naked mole-rat)
Lineage: Eukaryota; Metazoa; Chordata; Mammalia; Rodentia; Bathyergidae
Description: 7SK RNA
Rfam family: 7SK RNA
About the family: 7SK was discovered as an abundant small nuclear RNA in the mid-70s but a possible function has only recently been suggested. Two independent studies have found that 7SK RNA binds the CDK9/cyclin T complex (known as elongation factor P-TEFb).
Source: Rfam by way of RNAcentral
CUGUCACCCCAUUGAUCACCAGGGUUGAUUCAGCUGAUAUGGCUGGCUAGGCAG